Pan troglodytes (chimpanzee) is the source of this 8178-nucleotide RNA transcript. It is a transcript of the gene named kinase D interacting substrate 220, with no coding region annotated. The record is from RefSeq and is a predicted model, not a curated record. The transcript has 33 exons. NCBI's taxonomy places the organism in Eukaryota, Metazoa, Chordata, Mammalia, Primates, Hominidae.
GUGAUCUGUCAGUUCGCGGAGAGGGAAGAAUAUGGCCGCCGGGUGUGGUGAGGGCGACGCGCUUGCAGUCGCUGUCUCUUACUUCCCCGUCCUCUGACAUCGCCUGCAGCCGAGCGGGCCCGUUCCGCCGGAGCUGAGGACCAGGUAUUCAAAUAAAGUUAAUUGCAGCUUUCUGUGAAAAUGUCAGUUUUGAUAUCACAGAGCGUAAUAAAUUAUGUAGAGGAAGAAAACAUUCCUGCUCUGAAAGCUCUUCUUGAAAAAUGCAAAGAUGUAGAUGAGAGAAAUGAGUGUGGCCAGACUCCACUGAUGAUAGCUGCCGAACAAGGCAAUCUGGAAAUAGUGAAGGAAUUAAUUAAGAAUGGAGCUAACUGCAAUCUGGAAGAUUUGGAUAAUUGGACAGCACUUAUAUCUGCAUCGAAAGAAGGGCAUGUGCACAUCGUAGAGGAACUACUGAAAUGUGGGGUUAACUUGGAGCACCGUGAUAUGGGAGGAUGGACAGCUCUUAUGUGGGCAUGUUACAAAGGCCGUACUGACGUAGUAGAGUUGCUUCUUUCUCAUGGUGCCAAUCCAAGUGUCACUGGUCUGCAGUAUAGUGUUUACCCAAUCAUUUGGGCAGCAGGGAGAGGCCAUGCAGAUAUAGUUCAUCUUUUACUGCAAAAUGGUGCUAAAGUCAACUGCUCUGAUAAGUAUGGAACCACCCCUUUAGUUUGGGCUGCACGAAAGGGUCAUUUGGAAUGUGUGAAACAUUUAUUGGCCAUGGGAGCUGAUGUGGAUCAAGAAGGAGCUAAUUCAAUGACUGCACUUAUUGUGGCAGUGAAAGGAGGUUACACACAGUCAGUAAAAGAAAUUUUGAAGAGGAAUCCAAAUGUAAACUUAACAGAUAAAGAUGGAAAUACAGCUUUGAUGAUUGCAUCAAAGGAGGGACAUACGGAGAUUGUGCAGGAUCUGCUCGACGCUGGAACAUAUGUGAACAUACCUGACAGGAGUGGGGAUACUGUGUUGAUUGGCGCUGUCAGAGGUGGUCAUGUUGAAAUUGUUCGAGCGCUUCUCCAAAAAUAUGCUGAUAUAGACAUUAGAGGACAGGAUAAUAAAACUGCUUUGUAUUGGGCUGUUGAGAAAGGAAAUGCAACAAUGGUGAGAGAUAUCUUACAGUGCAAUCCUGACACUGAAAUAUGCACAAAGGAUGGUGAAACGCCACUUAUAAAGGCUACCAAGAUGAGAAACAUUGAAGUGGUGGAGCUGCUGCUAGAUAAAGGUGCUAAAGUGUCUGCUGUAGAUAAGAAAGGAGAUACUCCCUUGCAUAUUGCUAUUCGUGGAAGGAGCCGGAAACUGGCAGAACUGCUUUUAAGAAAUCCCAAAGAUGGGCGAUUACUUUAUAGGCCCAACAAAGCAGGCGAGACUCCUUAUAAUAUUGACUGUAGCCAUCAGAAGAGUAUUUUAACUCAAAUAUUUGGAGCCAGACACUUGUCUCCUACUGAAACAGAUGGCGACAUGCUUGGAUAUGAUUUAUAUAGCAGUGCCCUGGCAGAUAUUCUCAGUGAGCCUACCAUGCAGCCACCCAUUUGUGUGGGGUUAUAUGCACAGUGGGGAAGUGGGAAAUCUUUCUUACUCAAGAAACUAGAAGACGAAAUGAAAACCUUCGCCGGACAACAGAUUGAGCCUCUCUUUCAGUUCUCAUGGCUCAUAGUGUUUCUUACCCUGCUACUUUGUGGAGGGCUUGGUUUAUUGUUUGCCUUCACGGUCCACCCAAAUCUUGGAAUAGCAGUGUCACUGAGCUUCUUGGCUCUCUUAUAUAUAUUCUUUAUUGUCAUUUACUUUGGUGGACGAAGAGAAGGAGAGAGUUGGAAUUGGGCCUGGGUCCUCAGCACUAGAUUGGCAAGACAUAUUGGAUAUUUGGAACUCCUCCUUAAAUUGAUGUUUGUGAAUCCACCUGAGUUGCCAGAGCAGACUACUAAAGCUUUACCUGUGAGGUUUUUGUUUACAGAUUACAAUAGACUGUCCAGUGUAGGUGGAGAAACUUCUCUGGCUGAAAUGAUUGCAACCCUCUCGGAUGCUUGUGAAAGAGAGUUUGGCUUUUUGGCAACCAGGCUUUUUCGAGUAUUCAAGACUGAAGAUACUCAGGGUAAAAAGAAAUGGAAAAAAACAUGUUGUCUCCCAUCUUUUGUCAUCUUCCUUUUUAUCAUUGGCUGCAUUAUAUCUGGAAUUACUCUUCUGGCUAUAUUUAGAGUUGACCCAAAGCAUCUGACUGUAAAUGCUGUCCUCAUAUCAAUCGCAUCUGUAGUGGGAUUGGCCUUUGUGUUGAACUGUCGUACAUGGUGGCAAGUGCUGGACUCGCUCCUGAAUUCCCAAAGAAAACGCCUCCAUAAUGCAGCCUCCAAACUGCACAAAUUGAAAAGUGAAGGAUUCAUGAAAGUUCUUAAAUGUGAAGUGGAAUUGAUGGCCAGGAUGGCAAAAACCAUUGACAGCUUCACUCAGAAUCAGACAAGGCUGGUGGUCAUCAUCGAUGGAUUAGAUGCCUGUGAGCAGGACAAAGUCCUUCAGAUGCUGGACACUGUCCGAGUUCUGUUUUCAAAAGGCCCGUUCAUUGCCAUUUUUGCAAGUGAUCCACAUAUUAUCAUAAAGGCAAUUAACCAGAACCUCAAUAGUGUGCUUCGGGAUUCAAAUAUAAAUGGCCAUGACUACAUGCGCAACAUAGUCCAUUUGCCUGUGUUCCUUAAUAGUCGUGGACUAAGCAAUGCAAGAAAAUUUCUCGUAACUUCAGCAACAAAUGGAGACGUUCCAUGCUCAGAUACUACAGGGAUACAGGAAGAUGCUGACAGAAGAGUUUCACAGAACAGCCUUGGGGAGAUGACAAAACUUGGUAGCAAGACAGCCCUCAAUAGACGGGACACUUACCGAAGAAGGCAGAUGCAGAGGACCAUCACUCGCCAGAUGUCCUUUGACCUUACAAAACUGCUGGUUACCGAGGACUGGUUCAGUGACAUCAGUCCCCAGACCAUGAGAAGAUUACUUAAUAUUGUUUCUGUGACAGGACGAUUACUGAGAGCCAAUCAGAUUAGUUUCAACUGGGACAGGCUUGCUAGCUGGAUCAACCUUACUGAGCAGUGGCCAUACCGGACUUCAUGGCUCAUAUUAUAUUUGGAAGAGACUGAAGGUAUUCCAGAUCAAAUGACAUUAAAAACCAUCUACGAAAGAAUAUCAAAGAAUAUUCCAACAACUAAGGAUGUUGAGCCACUUCUUGAAAUUGAUGGAGAUAUAAGAAAUUUUGAAGUGUUUUUGUCUUCAAGGACCCCAGUUCUUGUGGCUCGAGAUGUAAAAGUCUUUUUGCCAUGCACUGUAAACCUAGAUCCCAAACUACGGGAAAUUAUUGCAGAUGUUCGUGCUGCCAGAGAGCAGAUCAGUAUUGGAGGACUGGCGUACCCCCCGCUCCCUCUACAUGAGGUUCCUCCUAGGGCGCCAUCAGGGUACAGCCAGCCCCCAUCCGUGUGCUCUUCCACGUCCUUCAAUGGGCCCUUCACAGGUGGAGUGGUGUCACCACAGCCUCACAGCAGCUAUUACAGCGGCAUGACGGGCCCUCAGCAUCCCUUCUACAACAGGCCAUUCUUUGCCCCAUACCUUUACACGCCAAGGUAUUACCCUGGCGGCUCCCAACAUCUCAUCUCACGUCCAUCAGUAAAAACGAGUUUGCCCAGAGAUCAGAACAAUGGCCUAGAAGUUAUCAAGGAGGAUGCUGCUGAGGGGCUUUCUUCACCCACAGACUCCUCGAGGCCGUGUGACUCUGGGUUUAACAAACAGAGACAGGGGUCAGGCCCAGCCCCAGGCCCAGUGGUAUUACUGAAUUCACUGAAUGUGGAUGCAGUAUGUGAGAAGCUGAAACAAAUAGAAGGGCUGGACCAGAGUAUGCUGCCUCAGUAUUGUACCACGAUCAAAAAGGCAAACAUAAAUGGCCGUGUGUUAGCUCAGUGUAACAUUGAUGAACUGAAGAAAGAGAUGAAUAUGAAUUUUGGAGACUGGCACCUUUUUAGAAGCACAGUACUAGAAAUGAGAAACGCAGAAAGCCACGUGGUCCCUGAAGACCCACGUUUCCUCAGUGAGAGCAGCAGUGGCCCAGCCCCGCACGGUGAGCCUGCUCGCCGCGCUUCCCACAACGAGCUGCCUCACACCGAGCUCUCCAGCCAGACGCCCUACACACUCAACUUCAGCUUCGAAGAGCUGAACACGCUUGGCCUGGAUGAAGGUGCCCCUCGUCACAGUAAUCUAAGUUGGCAGACGCACGCCGACACUGGGCAGAAGGGAAGAAACCAGUGGGGAUACUGUUGUUUUGCGGGGGCAGCAUGAGCAGACCCAGGAAGAAAAUGCUGGCCUUGAGAUAGAUAGCUCUUCAGAGGAUCCAGAUUAAACUAAGGCAACAGGCGCUGUAGAUCUUAGUACCCUGCCCAUAGACCCAAGCACUUUUCUCAUUUCUUCUGACAGUUCGAGUCACUUCUCACAGUUGACUUCCUCACCAAAUAAUAAGGGGGUGAAGAAGACUCGGCCUACCUACUACUCAGUAAUCCUGCUGUCCAGUCGACUGGAGAAGAGAGAUUUGUUCACCUCUACUAGUUUUAUUUGUUCUUAGUAGUUGUAGAAUUUAAAUUGGUUUUAAUGAAAUGUUCCUUUUAUGAAAUUUUAAAUAAAAGCCAUUUAGUGUAUAUUUAGUAUAGCAAGAAGCAUGUGAAUAAGCUCCAUAUAACCUGACAUUGCGCAUCUUACAGCAUCCUCUUGGUCAGAUGUCUAAUAAAAAGAUUGUUAUUUUCAAAUUUAUCAUAGUUCCUGCAACUUGCACUUUUUAAAGCUGUGUUUGUGAGAGUUUAUAGACUGCAUAUUGCUAUACUUGAUGGAAAUUAAACUAUUUUUAUUUUGAAAGAAGUUAAUUUAUAUUUUAAGUUCUUUAUGUUUUUCUCCUUUUACCUGAGUUCUUUUCAGUCAUUUUGUGUUGUUAAGUUUUUUUUAGGUUGUCAUAUAUUUUUCUUUUUUAGGUUACCAUCCUAGUUUACUGUAAAACAUUUCUUAGAGCAAUAGAUUGGGAAAGAGCCUCGAGAUAUCUUUUAGACCAAAUCCUAGAUCUCAGAAAGCCAGUGGACAUUCAGUAAAUGCUUGUUGGCCAGGUGCCGUGGCUCACGCCUAUAAUCCCAGCACUUCAGGAGGCCAAGGUGGGAGGAUGGCUUGAGCCCAGAAGUUCAAGACCAGCCUGGGUAACAUAAUGGGAUUCCAUCUCUACAAAAAUAAAAAUAAAAAAAUUAGCCAGGAAUGGUGGUGUGCACCUGUAGUCCCAGCUAUUUGGGAGGCUGAGGUAGGAGGAUUCCCUGAGCCUGAGAGGUUGAGGAUGCAGUGAGUGGUGAUCACACCACUGCACUCCAGCCUGGGUUACAGGGUGAGGCCCUGUCUCAAAUAAAUAAAUAAUUAAAACUUGUUAAGUGAAUGAAUAAACUAGGGGGGCAACUCUGAGAGUGUCUGCCCACAAAUCCUACACAGUGCCUUCAAAUUACUGGGUGCAGUGGCUCACACCUGUAAUCCCAGCACUUUGGGAGUCUGAGAUGGGCAGAUCAUCUGAGGUCAGGAGUUCAAGACCAACCUAGCCAACAUGGUGAAACCCCGUCUCUACUAAAAUACAAAAAUUAGGCGGGCGUGGUGGCAGGUGUCUAUGGCCCCAGCUACUCAGGAGGCUGAGGCAAGAGAAGCACUUGAACGUGGGAGACGGAGGUUGCAGUGAGCCGAGAUCGCACCGCUGCACUCCAACCUGGGCGACAGAGUGAGACUCCGUCUCAAAAAAUAAAACAAAAUACUGAAUGUAAAUCCCUUAACAUUGUGCUGUUGUGCCACAGCUCCUUACAGGUCCCACCUUCCCUCUCACUUUCUGCCCACCCUGUUACCUGCCUGGCCCCUGUAAGCUUUUCUGCUGUGCUUUUGGAAAUCUUUCAACCACAAUAGCAUGCUUUGUUGCAAACUCUUAGGGACCUAAGCCAGGCAUGGUGGCAUGCACUUGUAAUCCCAGCUACUUGGGGAGGCUGAGGCGGGAGGAUCACUUGAGCCCAGGAGUUCAAGACCAGCCUGGGCAACAUAGCGAGAACAUGUCUCAAAAAUAAAAAGGAAAAAAAUGGGGGAAAAAACCCUCCCAGGGACAGAUAUCCACAGCCAGUCUUGAUAAGCUCCAUCAUUUUAAAGUGCAAGGCGGUGCCUCCCAUGUGGAUGAUUAUUUAAUCCUCUUGUACUUUGUUUAGUCCUUUGUGGAAAUGCCCAUCUUAUAAAUUAAUAGAAUUCUAGAAUCUAAUUAAAAUGGUUCAACUCUACAUUUUACUUUAGGAUAAUAUCAGGACCAUCACAGAAUGUCUGAGAUGUGGAUUUACCCUAUCUGUAGCUCAGUUCUUCAACCAUUCUUUUAGCAAGGCUAGUUAUCUUCAGUGACAACCCCUUGCUGCCCUCUACUAUCUCCUCCCUCAGAUGGACUACUCUGAUUAAGCUUGAGCUAGAAUAAGCAUGUUAUCCUGGGAUUCCAUAUGGAAUAUUUUAUACAUGAGUGAGCCAUUAUGAGUUGUUUGAAAAUUUAUUAUGUUGAGGGAGGGUAACCGCUGUAACAACCAUCACCAAAUCUAAUCGACUGAAUACAUUUGACGUUUAUUUCUUGUUCACCUGACAGUUCAGUGUUACCUAAAUUUACAUGAAGACCCAGAGGCCCAUGCUCCUUCAUUUUGGGCUCCACCGACCUCCAAGGUUUCAGGGCCCUCUGCCCCGCCUUCUGCACCCACAGGGGAAGAGAGUGGAGGAUGCACACGCCCAGGCCUGGAAGCGACGCAUGUGGCUUCCCCGUCCACAGACUUCACCCACAGUCCAUUGGCCUUCUUAAGUCAUGGACUCCUGCUGAGCUGCCAGGGUGCGUGGGAAAUCCAUGUGACUGUGUGCCCUGGAGGAAGGGGAGCGUUUCGGUGAGCACACAGGAGUCUUUGCCACUAGACGCUGAUGAGGAUUCCCCACAGGCGAUGAAGCAUGGAGACUCAUCUUGUAACAAACAGAUGAGUUGUUGACAUCUCUUAAGUUUAUUUUGUGUGCAGUUUUUAUUCAGAUAGGAAAGGCUGUUAAAAUCUUAACACCUAACUGGAAGAAGGGUUUUAGAGAAGGGUGGUUUUCAGUAAGCCAGUUCUUUCCACAAUCCAAGAAACGAAAUAAAUUUCCAGCGUGGAGCAGUUUGCAGGUAAGGUUUUUGUUGUGGUCUCGCCCAGGCUUGAGUGUAACCGGUGUGGUCAUAGCUCACUACAUUCUCAAACUCCUGGCCUUAAGUCAUCCUCCUGCCUCAGCCUCCCAAAGGCAAGUAAGGUUAAGAAUAGGGGAAAGGUGAAGUUUCACAGCUUUUCUAGAAUUCUUUUUGUUCAAGGGACUCUCAGAUCAUCAAACCCACCCAGAAUCUGCUCAAUUUUCAAGAUUUGCUUAUAAAUAUUUAUAAUAUAAACACUCAAUUGCUAUCUGUUUUUUAGGUUCUCCUCUCUCUCCCAGAACAGUGGUAACAGGAACUCUUGGGGGCUUCUCCCUGUUCUUGCAGAUGUGGCAGGAUGUGUUUCUGGGGGGCUCCCAUGCCAGUCCACACCCUCUGUGGUGUAAGCAGGGAUUGGUAAUUAAUGAGAUGCUAAACCCUCCAGAAGUGAGCGCUCAUGUCCCAGAAACACAUCUUCCACCUCAGCAGCCAGUGGGAAAACUAGACUUUGUGUCUGCAUAUUUGUUCUUAAACACACUCUUCUGCAGUCUAACUCUGCUGACCACUUUCCAGUUUGCUCAUAUCAGAAUUUCUUUGGUUCUAAGAUGCAUAUUUUCUUUUUGUAUUCUGACUUGUUAGAAAUUAGAAUAUGUCUUGCAGCCAAUAAAAUCUAUGACAACAUUUUUUUUUUCUUAAUGGUUCCUAAAACUGUAGUUGAUGGUGUCUUGCUUAGGUUUAACGAAAGAUAUUUUAAUAUAUGGCAUGGUUAUGUGGAGUUGUAUCUCUAUCAGUAUUAAUGGGCUGGGGAUGAUUUAUAUUCAACUGAACCCCCAAAUUCAACAUUUUGUGUUGAAUAUUUAUUUUAUCAGUUAUUCUUUAUCCUGUACUCAUUUUGGAUACUUACUAAAGUAUUGUAUGUAUUUGUUAUAAUAAAAUGGCUUACCGUGUUUGAA